Camelus dromedarius (Arabian camel) is the source of this 2884-nucleotide long non-coding RNA. RefSeq lists it as uncharacterized. The transcript is spliced from 3 exons. The record is from RefSeq and is a predicted model, not a curated record. NCBI's taxonomy places the organism in Eukaryota, Metazoa, Chordata, Mammalia, Artiodactyla, Camelidae.
GGGAGGGAGGACUGGGUCCCUUCUCCUCCAGUCCCAUCUCCCUUUCCUGGGGGUGGGGCAUUGUGUCUCCUUCAUAACGUUGGAGAGUCCCACUGGAAAGGGGAUGCUGGUGGGAAGGACAGGGUGGAGUUGCUCUUGGUGGGAAGGUAGGAGGGGCUGGCUGCACAAAUCAGCGAGGUCUUCUCUGGUGUGGGCACUGGGUGUUUCAAAGGCUGUUCUCCAGAGUCCUGUGUGCUGGUGUGAGAUGUGAGUUGGUGGAGUGUUCACUUGAAGGGAAGGGAGAAGCUGGGGUCUGGAGGCUACAGAUGCAGACACUCGGGGAAGGAGCUCCGACCCACACCUGCUGUGUGAUCUUGGGUGGGUGUCUCAACCUCUCUGGACCUCUGUCAGUUGAUCUGUGAGACAGGAGGUUUGGUCUAAAUGAUCUCUAGAUUUGGACAGCAGUGCUGCCCUUGACGUAACUGGAAUAGAGGUCUCCAGCUGGGCUGAGGGCUGGACCUGGGGUUCCUCCUUUCAUGCUAGGGCUGCUGGCAUGUCUGUGGGUGAUGAGUCCAUUGAGGAAAUGGAGUGGGUUGACUAGAACUAUUUCCGUUCCCUUCCUCAUUGUGUUACCCUUACUGCUGUCCAGUCCACAAGUGAGGUCCUUAAUCAGGGCUUUGCGAUUGAGUGAACUUAACAGUAUAAUCCAGUUCUAUACAUGCCACAGGAGUUGUUUUAAAUUUUCUAGUAGCCAUUAAGCUUAAUGUGUGGCUAAUUUCCCAUCUCAUUGUCAUAAAAAGGUAAAAAAAAAAAGUGAAAUUAAUUAUAAGAGUAUAUUUUAGUUAACCCUUUAUAUCCAAAGUGUUCUUUUUAAUACACAAUCUAGGGGGAGGGUAUAGCUCAGUGGUAGAGCACAUGCUUAGCAUACACGAGGUCCUGGGUUCAAUUCCCAGUACCUCCAUUUAAAUAAAUAAAUAAAUAAAUAAACAAACCUAAUCCCCCCCCCCCCGCAAACAACACAAUCAAUCUAAACAAGUUGUUCUUGAGAUAUUUUACGAUUUUUUUCCACCACAGAUCUUCAAAAUCUGGUGUAUCUUGUACUUACAACCCAUCUCAAUUUGGACUAGCUGUAUUUUAAGCGCUCAAUAACCACAUGUGGCUAGUCUCCCUUGUCUUUCAUAAUUGCUCGCAACCUCAGUUUAACGCGUGCUGAAUAUUCCAUCUCAUCACCAUGCCCUGCAUUAAUUUAUUAUUUCCCACUUUGGGACACUCAGGGUGUUUUCUGGACUCCCCUGCUGUGAAUAACACCACAGUUACAUCUCUGCAGCUCAUACCUGUCCAUUGUCAAUGGACAUUGGGUGUUGGCCUGGCCCCAUGAGUCACCAGGUCCCUGUGAUGCUCGCCGACUGCCCAGACUACAAUGACCAGGUUGAGGGCUCCCACGGAGAUUGCCCCCACAGCGCAGUUCUUGCUGUGGUACUUGGAGUUGCUCUGAAGGCCAAAGAUGGGGUCCCACUCCUUCCACGGCAGCGUCCUUGGGAAGUGGAAGUUGCUAGGAGCUUGUGCUGUGUCCUUCUCUUUGCUGGCUUCUCUUGGGCAGGUGGCAUUCACUGAGCCUGGCUUUCCUCCUUGUAAGUGAGGCUGCUGGGUGGGGGCAGUGAGGCCCGCAGUGGCCCUGGAAGGCCUUCUGUAGGUCUUGGUCCCCGUCCUGCUACCUGACAUCCCUUCAGAGCCACCGGUCCUUCUCCGGCCGGAACUCUGAAAUUCUGAUGGUUGCCAGUUUCAUAAAUGUUUGUGGUUCUUAAGGUGAUUAAGAUAAUGUAUGUGAAACACUGAGCAUGGUACCUGGCAUAUAGUUGGUGCUCCAAAGUGGUGGUUAUUUAUGUCAUAGUUAUGUUGUUAUUCAGUCUGUCUCUUUCCAGAGAGGACUGGAGGCAGUUUGUAAAAAGCAAGUUUCUCGAGAUCCAUGGGGCUGUCAGAGAAACCCUUUGGUCUUGGCAAAGCUGUCUCUGACUUCGGCAGGUGUCUGCAUGGAUGGGGAAGGGGUGGGUGGGCCGGCGGGGUUGGUGGGCACUUCUGUCCUGCUGGGUUACCGUGGGAAAGGCCGGCACAGGGCUUCAUGCAGUUGAGGAAGAUGCCCCCAACCAUGUGCCCAGCUUUGGCAAUCAAAGCGCUUCCCGUACGUAUAACGUCUCCUCUGAUCCUUGGUCAUCCCGGUAGUAGCUGCAGUUUUUAUUGCUGUUUGGUUUGCCUGAGGUCAUAGAGCAAUUGGUGGGAUUCACACCUGGCUUCGUCUGGACUCUGCUUUGCUUUUCUGCCUCCCACAUGAUCGUGAGGAAUAAUAACAGUCACAGUCACCUACGGCUGCAGAGGACGUGUCACACCGCGCCUCACACGAUCGCCCGCUCCCCAGCGGGCGCGCGGGCUAGCGUUCCCAGUCCUCCCUGCUGCCCACGCCCUCGCAGGCACUGGCAGGGCUCUCAGAACACACCGUCUGUGCAUCCGCCUCCUUCAUUCAUUCGCUGCCAAGCACGCCCCAAACGUUGUGGGGCUGGAGUGAUGUCCGCUCGGAAGCCCACCUGCCGAUUGUCUGGAUGUUGAAAGUGAAAAAUCAAGCUAACAAGCUUUCCCACGAAGUGGGUUCUGUCCUUCUUGACAGGUGUACCUCCACAGGGAUAAAACUGAACGCUGUGAAAUUGAAGGCUGGCCGGUAUCAGAGACAGCUGAGGCUAGAAAUUUGUCUCGGGGAGCACUAGUCUAAAGGAUUGAAGUGAAUGAUAUAAUACAACCCUGCACCAAAUAUAAAUUAAACCAAAGAGUUCGGUGUCCACCUAGUUGCCAAAGUGAAGAACAAGACUCUCGCCUGAGGCAAGUUACGUCUAGUCCUGCACACAUUCAAGUUCAG